UGAGGAAUAUUGGUCAAUGGACGCAAGUCUGAACCAGCCAUGCCGCGUGAAGGAUGAAGGCGUUCUGCGUUGUAAACUUCUUUUAUCUGGGAAGAAACCUACGAUUUCUAUUGUAGCCGACGGUACCAGAGGAAUAAGCACCGGCUAACUCCGUGCCAGCAGCCGCGGUAAUACGGAGGGUGCAAGCGUUAUCCGGAUUCACUGGGUUUAAAGGGUGUGUAGGCGGGCUAUUAAGUCCGAGGUGAAAUCUCCGAGCUUAACUCGGAAACUGCCUUGGAUACUAUUAGUCUUGAAUAUCGUUGAGGUUUGCGGAAUAUGUCAUGUAGCGGUGAAAUGCAUAGAUAUGACAUAGAACACCGAUUGCGAAGGCAGCGGGCUAAACGAUUAUUGACGCUGAGGCACGAAAGCGUGGGGAUCAAACAGGAUUAGAUACCCCCGUAGUCC
This 444-nucleotide ribosomal RNA is filed under the name uncultured bacterium. RNAcentral describes it as "bacterial SSU rRNA". It matches the Rfam family "Bacterial small subunit ribosomal RNA", at positions 355 to 796 of the family's 1533-position model. The record is from RNAcentral.